RNAcentral lists this ribosomal RNA (254 nucleotides) under uncultured bacterium. RNAcentral describes it as "partial 16S ribosomal RNA". It matches the Rfam family "Bacterial small subunit ribosomal RNA", at positions 524 to 776 of the family's 1533-position model. The record is from RNAcentral.
UACGGGGGGGGGCAAGCGUUGUUCGGAAUUACUGGGCGUAAAGGGCUCGUAGGUGGUCAACUAAGUCGGACGUGAAAUCCCUCGGCUUAACUCCGAGCCUGCUUCCGAUACGGGCAGACUAGAGGUAGGCAGGGGAGAGCGGAACUCCUGGUGUAGCGGUGGAAUGCGCAGAUAUCAGGAGGAACACCGAUGGCGAAGGCAGAUCUCUGGGCCGUAACUGACGCUGAGGAGCGAAAGCAUGGGGAGCGAACAGG